RNAcentral lists this transfer RNA (84 nucleotides) under Paracoccaceae bacterium. RNAcentral describes it as "tRNA-Leu". It matches the Rfam family "tRNA". Rfam says of the family: Transfer RNA (tRNA) molecules are approximately 80 nucleotides in length. Their secondary structure includes four short double-helical elements and three loops (D, anti-codon, and T loops). RNAcentral also lists the same sequence under 1 other name. Lineage: Bacteria; Pseudomonadati; Pseudomonadota; Alphaproteobacteria; Rhodobacterales; Paracoccaceae. The record is from RNAcentral.
GCCCGCGUGGUGGAAUGGUAGACACAAGGGACUUAAAAUCCCUGGCCUUCGGGCGUGCCGGUUCAAGUCCGGCCGCGGGCACCA